Molecule: long non-coding RNA, 201 nt
Filed under: Mytilus galloprovincialis (Mediterranean mussel)
Lineage: Eukaryota; Metazoa; Mollusca; Bivalvia; Mytilida; Mytilidae
Source: RNAcentral
GGUUGGUGUACGAAUACCUUAGCAUGUCGAAACGCCACAUUCUUACUAGUCUAUAUCCGUCAUUUUCUUUGGCUGCAUCUUCUCUGCACCAAUCCAUCAGCCCUUCCCGCAACAAACAACAAGAAUAAUUAAAUUUUUUGUCCUCCAGCUUGGUAGUUUUAGUGUGUGUUUCUUUCUCUUCAUGAAUACUUGCGAUUUGAC